CUUUUCAUCUUCUUGUUGGGUAAUGGCUGUCGGAUUAGAUGAUUUACUUUAUGUUCUGCCUUGUUUAGGAUAACUUUCUCUAAACUACAAGCUUUUCUACCUCGACCUUGGGGUUGAGAUCCAUCAGGUGAAGGUAAUGCAUCAACCAAAGCAACUGAUCUCCUUGGUCUCCCUCUCUUUGAUACUUGUCUAGACACAGCAGUCCCUGUCACAUGUGCAGUGGACUCUUCCAUUGCUUGUUUCAGGAAUGAAACUUCUGAUUCAAGCUUCGUAACGUGGCUCUUGUAAUCAGCUAGUUCUGAUUGCAAAUGUCCAAUUACGAUCCAUAGUUGAACAUUCUCUGCUGACUGCAUCCUCAAGCAAAAAAUUGACAUAAGCAAAAAUGGCAAUAUCAUAGUGAAAACAAAAUAAGGGCAGCAGAAAAGAAAUCAUCCUUGAGCUUCCCACAGUUGUUCUGGUGGCCUAAUGAUCCCCCUUUGAGAUGAUUGUCCAAGGGGCGCUGAACAAUCAGGCACAGUUGGAGGUUGUAAAGAGAAGUAGCCAUAAGCUCCUGGGAACACAUAGUUGCUAGGAGGCUGUGAUUGUUGAAUAUGACCACACCAAGAAGAUGGAUCCCAAGGCCCUGGAAAUGCGUAACCAACUUGGUAACAGAAAUCGGGAAACUGAUUAUGGUCUUUUGAUGAAGUUCCACCUCCUAUUAAACCAGAAGCCUGCUAACUAGCAUUAAUUGCUCCAGGUGGAUGGCUGAAAUAUAACAGGUGCAUUCACACCAGGCAUAUAGUAACCAGGACGCUGAGGUAGCCAAAAUGGUGUGGUUGAUUGGGCAAGGUGAGGUAGGGCAUGGCCCUGAUGACUAGUAGGAUUUAAUGGCAGAUGAGGUAAUUGAUGCCAUUGGCUUACAGCUAUUGAUGGAGAUUGGGCAGAUACACAAGGCUUUGAACUUGAGGAAGGCCGCUCCCCGUUAAUUUGAAGUGUGCAUGGGCAGCAUGGCCAUUGAAGAAUUGAAGGGGAUUGCUGAUUGAGGGAAGGUGCAUCGUCAUGUGAAGGAUUAGUAGCUCUCAUACUCUUCGUAGCAAAUGCAACAGUGGGUUGGUUUUGUUCUUCUUUACGCUGGUCAUCAUCAGAUUCACCCAGCAAGUCAUUAAAGCCACGUUCGUGGGUAGUAGCUGAAGCAAUUCUGUGAUCCUUCUUCUUCCUUUCCAUGACAUCAAAAUAAGAGAUUAAUAAAAAUUAAUCACUUACAGUAGAUGAAGAUGCAGGAGCUCUCUCCCUAUAUCAAACUAGAGAGAGAAAGCGAUGGAAAAGAAGAAAAAGAGGCCGAAUUUCUUAUUCAGCGGAAAGAGAAUGUGAAGGAAUUUUAUAGCUUUUACUGAUCUUUGAUCUUGCUGCAGAACUGUCAAUAAAUAAUAAUGAUAAAAGGGAAAUACUUAAGAUGACUAAAUGCUGCAGGUGCUCUGUGGACACUGGACAUUACUCAUAUUGCUGCAUUCUAGUACUGACCAGCAGAAGGCGCACCACCAUUCUGUUU
This 1528-nucleotide unclassified non-coding RNA is filed under the name Hevea brasiliensis (rubber tree). Lineage: Eukaryota; Viridiplantae; Streptophyta; Magnoliopsida; Malpighiales; Euphorbiaceae. The record is from RNAcentral.